This 420-nucleotide ribosomal RNA is filed under the name Blastocystis sp. subtype 1. RNAcentral describes it as "SSU rRNA". It matches the Rfam family "Eukaryotic small subunit ribosomal RNA", at positions 667 to 1093 of the family's 1831-position model. Lineage: Eukaryota; Bigyra; Opalinata; Blastocystidae. The record is from RNAcentral.
GAAUCCGGGGUCUCUGGCCUGUAAGUCACCCCCUUCCAGUAUCCAGUAGUGGGUAUUCAGUUACUUACUAUUGUGUGUUGGUCGUUUACUGUGAGAAAAUUAGAGUGUUCAAAGCAGGCGUUUGCUUGAAUAGAUUAGCAUGGAAUAAUAAUUGAAGGCUUUCGUGUUCGAUUUGAUUGGUUUGUUCAUGGAAGCAAGGUUAAAAGGAACAGUUGGGGGUAUUCAUAUUCACUAGUUAGAGGUGAAAUUCUCGGAUUUAUGGAAGAUGAACAAGUGCGAAAGCAUUUACCAAGGAUGUUUUCAUUAAUCAAGAACGAAAGCUAGGGGAUCGAAGAGGAUUAGAUACCCUCGUAGUCUUAGCUAUAAACGAUACCGACUAGGGGUUAGUAGAGGUCAAGUGUCUUUAUUAGUACCUUAUGA